UGAGGAAUAUUGGUCAAUGGACGAGAGUCUGAACCAGCCAAGUAGCGUGCAGGAUGACGGCCCUAUGGGUUGUAAACUGCUUUUGUAUGGGGAUAAAGUCAAUCACGUGUGAUUGUUUGCAGGUACCAUACGAAUAAGGACCGGCUAAUUCCGUGCCAGCAGCCGCGGUAAUACGGAAGGUCCGGGCGUUAUCCGGAUUUAUUGGGUUUAAAGGGAGCGUAGGCCGGAGAUUAAGUGUGUUGUGAAAUGUAGACGCUCAACGUCUGACUUGCAGCGCAUACUGGUUUCCUUGAGUACGCACAACGUUGGCGGAAUUCGUCGUGUAGCGGUGAAAUGCUUAGAUAUGACGAAGAACUCCGAUUGCGAAGGCAGCUGACGGGAGCGCAACUGACGCUUAAGCUCGAAGGUGCGGGUAUCGAACAGGAUUAGAUACCCUGGUAGUCCGCACAGUAAACGAUGGAUGCCCGCUGUUGGUACCUGGUAUCAGCGGCUAAGCGAAAGCAUUAAGCAUCCCACCUGGGGAGUACGCCGGCAACGGUG
Molecule: ribosomal RNA, 540 nt
Filed under: uncultured bacterium
Lineage: Bacteria
Description: bacterial SSU rRNA
Rfam family: Bacterial small subunit ribosomal RNA
Source: RNAcentral